This 434-nucleotide ribosomal RNA is filed under the name uncultured bacterium. Its description in RNAcentral is "partial 16S ribosomal RNA". It matches the Rfam family "Bacterial small subunit ribosomal RNA", at positions 30 to 506 of the family's 1533-position model. The record is from RNAcentral.
AGCGAACGCUGGCGGCAGGCUUAACACAUGCAAGUCGAGCGGGCACUUUCGGGUGUCAGCGGCGGACGGGUGAGUAACGCGUGGGAACGUGCCCUCUGGUUCGGAAUAACUCAGGGAAACUUGAGCUAAUACCGGAUACGCCCUUUUGGGGAAAGGCUUGCUGCCGGAGGAUCGGCCCGCGUCUGAUUAGCUAGUUGGUGAGGUAACGGCUCACCAAGGCGACGAUCAGUAGCUGGUCUGAGAGGAUGAUCAGCCACACUGGGACUGAGACACGGCCCAGACUCCUACGGGAGGGAGCAGGGGGGAAUAUUGGAAAAGGGGCGCAAGCCUGAUCCAGCCAGGCCGGGUGAGGGAAGAAGGCCUUAGGGUUGUAAAGCUCUUUUAUCCGGGAAGAUAAUGACGGUACGGGGGGAAAAAGCCCCGGCAAAUUUCGU